GAGUCAGUAGGUUGGUCGUGCCACCGGUACGUACUGGUCUCACUGAUUCCUCCUUCCUGAAGAACCGUAAUGCCAUUAAUUUGGUGUUGCGGGGAAGCAGGACUGUUACUUUGAAAAAAUUAGAGUGUUUAAAGCAAGCUAACGCUUGAAUACAUUAGUAUGGAAUAAUGAAAUAGGACGAUCGAUCCUAUUUUGUUGGUUUCUAGGAUUGACGUA
This 216-nucleotide ribosomal RNA is filed under the name Glomeromycotina sp. Its description in RNAcentral is "partial small subunit ribosomal RNA". The stretch from base 40 to 216 matches the Rfam family "Eukaryotic small subunit ribosomal RNA", at positions 686 to 864 of the family's 1831-position model. Lineage: Eukaryota; Fungi; Glomeromycota. The record is from RNAcentral.